GUGUUUAAGCCUUGUUUGAUCCCACCAAGACACACUCCAGCAACACUACUGGUAUUAAAAUAUAACUUUUACUUUCUACAGAUCUUUGCUAAAUUUCCAAACCAAACUAAACCCCAGAUCGAUAAACCCUGUUCAAGGGUGCUUUUAUGAAGAAUCUGUGUAUAUAUGUAUAUCAAUUAAGAUGUAAAUAAACUGUAGUGUUGCAGAAGAAGCUGGGGAUGGUUCGAAAUCAGGGAAGAAUUGAAGAUAAACUAAGUUAGCCAAAGGCCUAAUCGAUAUGGGUCGAUAUGAAUUAAGCAUCGAUUGUGGGAUUUAUUGGUCUAAUAUGUACUGACAUCAUGACGGGGUACGUGAUGCGAGUGCUGAGCACUUAUCUGACCGACGCUUGGGGGAAUAACUUCACUCACUAGGCAGCCAUUGUCAAUAUGUGGGAAGGCUUGUCUAAGAUGCUGCCUUUGGCGAUUGCCCUCGUUUCUUCUUUGUUUCUUGAUCCAUUGCUUUAAUUUUCCCUCUUCUAUGCACCAUACCUUAUGCCUUUGUAAGCAUUCUCUUACGAUUCUCUAAGGGUGUAUUUGUUCGGGGGUUUGAAUUUUGGAUUGAAAUUUGAAUAAUAGAUAUUUUGAAUUUGAAUAGUUAUAUGAUGUAUGUAAAUAGGCGUUGAUGUGAUAUUUUGAGAAUA
This is a long non-coding RNA of Andrographis paniculata, 679 nucleotides long. RefSeq lists it as uncharacterized. NCBI's taxonomy places the organism in Eukaryota, Viridiplantae, Streptophyta, Magnoliopsida, Lamiales, Acanthaceae. The record is from RefSeq and is a predicted model, not a curated record. The transcript is spliced from 3 exons.